UACGUAGGGAGCGAGCGUUAUCCGGAUUUAUUGGGUGUAAAGGGUGCGUAGGCGGUUUAUUAAGUCUGUGGUCUAAGCCCGAAGCUUAACUUCGGUUCGCCACAGAAACUGAUUGACUUGAGUAUGGUAGAGGCAAGUGGAAUUUCUAGUGUAGCGGUUAAAUGCGUAGAUAUUAGAAGGAACACCAGUGGCGAAGGCGACUUGCUGGGCCAUUACUGACGCUGAGGCACGAAAGCGUGGGGAGCAAAUA
RNAcentral lists this ribosomal RNA (250 nucleotides) under uncultured prokaryote. RNAcentral describes it as "partial 16S ribosomal RNA". It matches the Rfam family "Bacterial small subunit ribosomal RNA", at positions 524 to 774 of the family's 1533-position model. The record is from RNAcentral.